Asparagus officinalis (garden asparagus) is the source of this 180-nucleotide long non-coding RNA. RefSeq lists it as uncharacterized. Lineage: Eukaryota; Viridiplantae; Streptophyta; Magnoliopsida; Asparagales; Asparagaceae. The record is from RefSeq and is a predicted model, not a curated record. The transcript is spliced from 3 exons.
GGAAAAGUUGCUGAUCCUCAAGUGACUGAUCGAAAGACCAUCAGCAUUAGAAACUUCAAUAAGAAACUUCUUGAGGAUAAGCGAGUUAAUAUCAGUAUGGUACCAAUUGGGGACGGCAUGACAAUAUGUCGCAAAGUAUUACACGGUUCUUCAAGAUCCUGACGCUAAUAACAGGCUAUC